AUGCUGACUGAGGAUGAGAUGGGGCACCCAGAGACAGGAGAUGCUAUUGCCCGGCUUAAGGAGGUCCUGGAGUACAGUGCCAUUGGAGGCAAGUACCACCAGAGUGUGACGGUGCUGGUAGCAUUUCGGGAGCUGGUGGAACCAAGGAAACAGGAUGCUGAUAGUCUCCAACGGGCCUUGACUGUCAAUGACUCUAUGCUUCUGGAAGCGUGUAUCUACUGCCUGUUGAAACUCUACUGCUGGGAGCAGCCCUAUUACCUGAACCUGAUUGAGCUCUUCCUGCAGAGUUCAUAUCAGACUGAGAUUGGGCAGACUCUGGACCUUAUCACAGCCCCCCAGGGUAAUGUGGAUCUUGGGAGAUUUACCGAAAAGAGGUACAAAUCUAUUGUCAAGUACAAGACAGCUGUCUACUCCUUCUACCUUCCUGUAGCUGCUGCUAUGUACAUGUACAUGGCAGGCACUGAUGGGCAGAAGGAACAUAGUCAUGCGAAGAAGAUCCUGCUGGAGAUGGGCAAGUUCCUUCAGAUCCAGGAUGUUUACCUUGAUCUCUUUUACCUUGAUCUAGGAUGUUUACCUUGAUCAGUGUGAUGGGCAAGGUUGGGACUGACAUCCAGGACAACAAAUGCAGCUGGCUGGUGGUUCAGUGUCUGCAAUAGGCCACUCCGGAGCAGCACCAGAUAUUCCAGGAGAAUUACGGGCAGAAGGAGGCAGAGAAGGUGGUCUGGGUGAAGGCCCUGUACGAGGAGCUGGCUCUCCCUGCUCUGUUCUUGCAGCAUGAGGAGGACAGCUACAGCCGCCUUAUGAGUCUCACUGAGCAGUUUGCAGCACCCCUGUCCCCAGCCAUCUUCCUGGAGGUAGCACACAAAAUCUAUAAGCGGCAAAAGUGACCUAGACACUGCAAGGAUGGGGAGAGGAGGCUCAAGAAAUUAUUGUGUAACCUUGA
Otolemur garnettii (small-eared galago) is the source of this 943-nucleotide RNA transcript. It is a transcript of the gene named farnesyl pyrophosphate synthase pseudogene, with no coding region annotated. Lineage: Eukaryota; Metazoa; Chordata; Mammalia; Primates; Galagidae. The transcript has 2 exons. The record is from RefSeq and is a predicted model, not a curated record.